RRKKCGCCCUURGAGUUUGAUCCUGGCUCAGAACGAACGCUGGCGGSGUGCUUAACACAUGCAAGUCGAACGUGAUCCAGAGCUUGCUCUGGUGAAAGUGGCGCACGGGUGAGUAACGCGUGGAUAACCUGCCCUGGUAUCUGGGAUAACAUCUCGAAAGGGGKGCUAAUACCGGAUAAGCCUACGGGAUCUUCGGAUUCUGCAGGAAAAGGAGGCCUCUAUUUAUAAGCUUCCGUAUCAUGAUGGGUCCGCGUACCAUUAGCUAGUUGGUGGGGUAAUGGCCUACCAAGGCGACGAUGGUUAGCUGGUCUGAGAGGAUGAUCAGCCACACUGGAACUGAGACACGGUCCAGACUCCUACGGGAGGCAGCAGUGGGGAAUUUUGCGCAAUGGGGAAACCCYGACSCAGCAACSCCSCGUGAGUGAUGAAGGCUUUCGGGYCGUAAAGCUCUGUCMGARGGGAAGAAAUGAAACGKGCUAAUAUCACGUUUUCUUGACSGKACCCUCAAAGGAAGCACCGGCUAACUCCGUGCCAGCAGCCGCGGUAAUAC
This 550-nucleotide ribosomal RNA is filed under the name uncultured Geobacteraceae bacterium. RNAcentral describes it as "partial 16S ribosomal RNA". It matches the Rfam family "Bacterial small subunit ribosomal RNA", at positions 1 to 526 of the family's 1533-position model. The record is from RNAcentral. Lineage: Bacteria; Pseudomonadati; Thermodesulfobacteriota; Desulfuromonadia; Geobacterales; Geobacteraceae.